This 523-nucleotide ribosomal RNA is filed under the name Potamocarcinus sp. Mi1. RNAcentral's name for it is "partial 16S ribosomal RNA". It matches the Rfam family "Bacterial large subunit ribosomal RNA", at positions 1854 to 2627 of the family's 2925-position model. The record is from RNAcentral. RNAcentral also lists the same sequence under 1 other name. Lineage: Eukaryota; Metazoa; Arthropoda; Malacostraca; Decapoda; Pseudothelphusidae.
GACCUGCCCACUGAUAAUAUAAUUUAAUGGCCGCGGUAUUAAUGACCGUGCAAAGGUAGCAUAAUCAUUAGUCUUUUAAUUGAAGGCUUGUAUGAAUGGUUGGACAAAAGGAAAACUGUCUUCUUAAUAUAAAUUGAAUUUAACUUUUAAGUGAAAAGGCUUAAAUAUUUCAGAGGGACGAUAAGACCCUAUAAAGCUUUAUAUAAAAUGAAUUUUAGAUUGAAAUUUUAUUAAAAGAUUAAGAUUUAUGUUUAUAUUAUGUUGGGGUAACAAAAGUAUAAUUAUUAGUAACUGUUUAGUUUAUAUACAGGUAUAUUUGUAUUAUUAAUUGAUCCUUAUUUAAAGAUUUUAAGAUUAAGUUACUUUAGGGAUAACAGCGUAAUUUUUUUAGAGAGUUCUUAUCGAAAAAAGAGUUUGCGACCUCGAUGUUGAAUUAAAAUUUCUAUAUAGUGCAGCUAUUAUAUAAGGAGGUCUGUUCGACCUUUAAUUUUUUACAUGAUUUGAGUUCAGACCGGCGUGAGCC